AUAAUCGUUAAUCCCCGGAUUUCCGAAUGGGAAAACCUGCAUGUCUGGAGGAUAUGCGUGAAAACGGUAAGCCCGUGAACUGAAACAUCUAAGUAACGGGAGGAAAAGAAAGUAAAAACGAUUCCCUUAGUAGCGGCGAGCGAACGGGGAUCAGCCCAUUAAGUUAUGUGUGUUUUAGUGGAACGCUCUGGGAAGUGCGAACGUAGAGGGUGAUAUUCCCGUACACGAAAGGGCACACAUAAUGAUGACGAGUAGGGCG
This 259-nucleotide ribosomal RNA is filed under the name Aurantiochytrium limacinum. RNAcentral's name for it is "partial Bacterial large subunit ribosomal RNA". It matches the Rfam family "Bacterial large subunit ribosomal RNA", at positions 92 to 419 of the family's 2925-position model. Lineage: Eukaryota; Bigyra; Thraustochytrida; Thraustochytriidae. The record is from RNAcentral.